Molecule: unclassified non-coding RNA, 343 nt
Filed under: soil metagenome
Description: partial contains 5.8S ribosomal RNA, internal transcribed spacer 2, and large subunit ribosomal RNA
Rfam family: 5.8S ribosomal RNA (bases 2-121)
Source: RNAcentral
GGAUGAAGAACGCAGCAAAAUGCGAUAAGUAAUGUGAAUUGCAGAAUUCAGUGAAUCAUCGAAUCUUUGAACGCACAUUGCGCCCGCCAGUAUUCUGGCGGGCAUGCCUGUUCGAGCGUCAUUUCAACCCUCAAGCCCCCGGGUUUGGUGUUGGGGAUCGGGCUGUACUCCAGCCCGGCCCCGAAAUCUAGUGGCGGUCUCGCUGCAGCCUCCAUUGCGUAGUAGCUAACACCUCGCAACUGGAACGCGGCGCGGCCAAGCCGUUAAACCCCCAACUUCUGAAUGUUGACCUCGGAUCAGGUAGGAAUACCCGCUGAACUUAAGCAUAUCAAUAAGCGGAGGA